GACGAACGCUGGCGGCGUGCUUAACACAUGCAAGUCGAACGGAAAGGCUCCAGCUUGCUGGAGUACUCGAGUGGCGAACGGGUGAGUAACACGUGGGUAAUCUGCCCUGCACUCUGGGAUAAGCCUGGGAAACUGGGUCUAAUACUGGAUAUGACCUUUCUCCUUAUGGGGUUUGGUGGAAAGUUUUUCGGUGUAGGAUGAGCCCGCGGCCUAUCAGCUUGUUGGUGGGGUGAUGGCCUACCAAGGCGACGACGGGUAGCCGGCCUGAGAGGGUGAUCGGCCACAUUGGGACUGAGAUACGGCCCAGACUCCUACGGGAGGCAGCAGUGGGGAAUAUUGCACAAUGGGCGGAAGCCUGAUGCAGCGACGCCGCGUGAGGGAUGAUGGCCUUCGGGUUGUAAACCUCUUUCAGCAGGGACGAAGCGUAAGUGACGGUACCUGCAGAAGAAGCACCGGCUAACUAUGUG
RNAcentral lists this ribosomal RNA (467 nucleotides) under uncultured bacterium. RNAcentral's name for it is "partial 16S ribosomal RNA". It matches the Rfam family "Bacterial small subunit ribosomal RNA", at positions 28 to 507 of the family's 1533-position model. The record is from RNAcentral.